RNAcentral lists this ribosomal RNA (371 nucleotides) under uncultured bacterium. RNAcentral's name for it is "bacterial SSU rRNA". It matches the Rfam family "Bacterial small subunit ribosomal RNA", at positions 29 to 424 of the family's 1533-position model. The record is from RNAcentral.
AACGAACGCUGGCGGCAGGCCUCAAAACAUGCAAGUCUAGGGGGUGCAGCAAUGCAUCACCGGCGGACGGGUGCGUAACGCGUGGGAAUAUACCUUUUGGUUCGGAACAACUGCGGGAAACUGCAGCUAAUACCGAAUGUGCCCUAACGGGGAAAGAUUUAUCGCCAAAGGAUUAGCCCGCGUAGGAUUAGCUAGUUGGUGAGGUAAUGGCUCACCAAGGCUCCGAUCCUUAGCUGCUGAGAGGAAGAUCAGCCACACUGGGACUGAGACACGGCCCAGACUCCUACGGGAGGCAGCAGUUGGGAAUCGUUGGACAAUGGGGGAAACCCUGGAUCCAGCCAUGCCGCGUGAGUGAUGAAGGCCUUCGGGUU